Molecule: long non-coding RNA, 444 nt
Filed under: Bos taurus (domestic cattle)
Lineage: Eukaryota; Metazoa; Chordata; Mammalia; Artiodactyla; Bovidae
Description: long non-coding RNA NONBTAT011864
Source: RNAcentral
GCAGAAUCAAUGUUAGAAAACUUGAGAAAGUUUUCCAGUAAAGUCUGCAGGUGCUGAGUUUAUGCUAAAAUUUACAGCUUUGUAACUUCUGAGUACUUUCCAGCUGUGGUGGGUUGUUUAUGAUUUUUUUUUUUUUUUAACAGACUGUUUGCUUUUCAUUCUUAAGGGUGUCACAGAAACUAACAUUAGUUUAUCUGAAUUGACAGGUGCAAGAGCUUUUAACAGUUAAUGUGUAGUUGAACUUGUGGGGGAGGGGAAGCAACAGAAACUUGGCUUUUAUCAUGUAUCUGUUAACUUUGAUAGACCAUAUUGUUUCAUUUGGCAGAAAUUCCUUUGAUUAAAUGAAGGGAUUCUAACAGGUUAGAAUUUCACUGUGUUUCACUCUGAGCUGCUCACAAACCAUUGUUCUUUGAGUAGUUACUUAAUAAUCUUUUCUCCCCUUAU